Molecule: ribosomal RNA, 449 nt
Filed under: uncultured bacterium
Lineage: Bacteria
Description: bacterial SSU rRNA
Rfam family: Bacterial small subunit ribosomal RNA
Source: RNAcentral
GUCGAGAAUUUUUCACAAUGGGCGAAAGCCUGAUGGAGCGACGCCGCGUGGGGGAUGAAGGGCUUCGGCUUGUAAACCCCUGUCAUUUGCGAACAAAGGCGCCGGCCUAAUACGUUGUCGCCUGAUAGUAGCAGAAGAGGAAGGGACGGCUAACUCUGUGCCAGCAGCCGCGGUAAUACAGAGGUCCCAAGCGUUGUUCGGAUUCACUGGGCGUAAAGGGUGCGUAGGUGGUGGAUUAAGUCGGGUGUGAAAUCUCCGGGCUCAACCCGGAGCGUGCGCCCGAAACUGGUUCGCUGGAGGAUGGGAGGGGAGACUGGAAUUCUCGGUGUAGCAGUGAAAUGCGUAGAUAUCGAGAGGAACACCGGUGGCGAAGGCGAGUCUCUGGACCAUUCCUGACACUGAGGCACGAAAGCCGGGGGAGCAAACAGGAUUAGAAACCCUUGUAGUCC